AUAUCUGAUGAAACACUUGCUAUGUUCUAUCCACCUCUUCAAUGUCAUCGUCGCUGCUCCAUCUAGGCCUCAAAUGGCGUUCUCCAUGCCGAUGUUCCUUCACUUUUGUUUCUUUUUCUCUUCUUAUGUUUCCUGUGAACAAAGGUCUCUGAUGACGUGGUCAAUGGAUUCAAUUGACUGAUUUCAAAUUUUGAAAUCAUCCAUUUCUCUCCGUUCAUGAUGCUGACUGCUCUUGAAUUAAAAAAAAUACUAAUAUGGUGAUUCCUUCUCUUCUUGUCUGCUACUCACCUAUUUUGAAUGUCUGAUCUACAACAUUUCCUUUCAAACCUUUAAUUAGGAACGAGAAGGAGUUGAUUGAUUUUGCACUCCUAAAAUUUGGUGCAAUGCUCAUUUGUCGACAGCCUAUGUAUCCACAAACAUUCAAAGUUCAAAUUUUCAUCGUCAAUCGAGGGAGCCAUCCAUGAACUUGGGCAUUGCCAAAUUUCUUGGUUUUCAACAAUUACUGUGCAGUUUGUUACUAUGUUUGUGAUGGUGUUAUUUCCAGCUUUUCUGUUG
Molecule: long non-coding RNA, 555 nt
Organism: Cynara cardunculus var. scolymus (artichoke)
Lineage: Eukaryota; Viridiplantae; Streptophyta; Magnoliopsida; Asterales; Asteraceae
Exons: 4
Source: RefSeq, a predicted model, not a curated record